AUCAAGUUUAUAUAGAUGGUCU
RNAcentral lists this non-coding RNA (22 nucleotides) under Arabidopsis thaliana (thale cress). Lineage: Eukaryota; Viridiplantae; Streptophyta; Magnoliopsida; Brassicales; Brassicaceae. The record is from RNAcentral.